RNAcentral lists this transfer RNA (56 nucleotides) under Myotis brandtii (Brandt's bat). It matches the Rfam family "tRNA", at positions 9 to 63 of the family's 71-position model. From Rfam's summary of the family: Transfer RNA (tRNA) molecules are approximately 80 nucleotides in length. Their secondary structure includes four short double-helical elements and three loops (D, anti-codon, and T loops). The record is from Rfam by way of RNAcentral. Lineage: Eukaryota; Metazoa; Chordata; Mammalia; Chiroptera; Vespertilionidae.
GGCUCAGUGGUUGAGCCUCGGCCUGUGAACCCGGAGGUCCCGGGUUCGAUUCCCGG